UACGGAGGAUGCAAGCGUUAUCCGGAUUCAUUGGGUUUAAAGGGUGCGCAGGCGGGAAAGUAAGUCAGUGGUGAAAAACUGCCGCUCAACGGUAGUCGUGCCAUUGAUACUGCUUUUCUUGAGUUUGGAUGAGGUAGGCGGAAUGUGCAGUGUAGCGGUGAAAUGCAUAGAUAUUGCACAGAACACCAAUUGCGAAGGCAGCUUACUAAUCCACGACUGACGCUGAGGCACGAAAGCGUGGGGAGCGAACAGGAUUAGAUACCCUGGUAGUCCACGCCGUAAACGAUGUUCACUCGCUGUUUGCGAUAUACUGUAAGCGGCUGAGCGAAAGCAUUAAGUGAACCACCUGGGGAGUACGAUCGCAAGGUUGAA
This 372-nucleotide ribosomal RNA is filed under the name uncultured bacterium. Its description in RNAcentral is "bacterial SSU rRNA". It matches the Rfam family "Bacterial small subunit ribosomal RNA", at positions 524 to 898 of the family's 1533-position model. The record is from RNAcentral.